AUGGCUUAAACUUAUGAGUAAGGAAAAUAACAAUUCAGGUGGAUACCCAAAUCCUUACUGCUAAUGUGAGAUGAAUUUUUGAGUAGGUAAAGGUUGCCCCUAAGAUGACCCACCUACUUUGUGGGAUGCCUGGGAGUCGUGAUCUGCCUG
Molecule: small nuclear RNA, 150 nt
Organism: Carlito syrichta (Philippine tarsier)
Lineage: Eukaryota; Metazoa; Chordata; Mammalia; Primates; Tarsiidae
Gene: U12
Rfam family: U12 minor spliceosomal RNA
About the family: Although the U12 sequence is very divergent from that of U2, the two are functionally analogous.
Source: Ensembl